CGCAGCCAGCUGCGAGAUUUGGUGUGAAUUGCAGGACACAUUGAGCACUGAUUUUUCGAACGCACAUUGCGGCCUCGGGUCCUGCCCGGGGCCUCGCCUGUCUGAGGGUCGGAUAAGACUUGCCUAGGAGGUCUCGGUCGUAAAAAAGCCGGGGCCUUCAAUUGGCCGCACCGGAUGCCUCACGGGGCGUUCGCCGGCUCAAGUACUUGGAAGGAUCUCGAUCCGUUCGCACACGGGCAGCAGCCACCACAGUUGGAAGCUCGUCGAGUGGAGGAAGACGGAUGUUCUUCUCCCGAGGACGAGACGUGGCUUCAAGCAGGCUGCCCUGCAAGGCGAAGCGAGGUCGCAGGUCCCGUCGGAGGUCCCGUCCCUUAACGGGACGGGACGAGAUGACAAAAAACCCCUUCUUUUUGUCGACCUCAGAUCAGACGAGAUGACCCGCUGAAUUUAAGCAUAUC
RNAcentral lists this ribosomal RNA (458 nucleotides) under Leviellus thorelli. RNAcentral's name for it is "eukaryotic LSU rRNA". The stretch from base 1 to 111 matches the Rfam family "5.8S ribosomal RNA", at positions 44 to 154 of the family's 154-position model. Lineage: Eukaryota; Metazoa; Arthropoda; Arachnida; Araneae; Araneidae. The record is from RNAcentral.